This 253-nucleotide ribosomal RNA is filed under the name uncultured bacterium. Its description in RNAcentral is "partial 16S ribosomal RNA". It matches the Rfam family "Bacterial small subunit ribosomal RNA", at positions 524 to 776 of the family's 1533-position model. The record is from RNAcentral.
UACGGAGGAUGCAAGCGUUAUCCGGAAUGAUUGGGCGUAAAGCGUCCGCAGGUGGCUAUGUAAGUCUGCUGUUAAAGAGUGAGGCUCAACCUCAUAAGAGCAGUGGAAACUAAUAAGCUUGAGUACGGUAGGGGCAGAGGGAAUUCCCGGUGUAGCGGUGAAAUGCGUAGAGAUCGGGAAGAACACCAAUGGCGAAAGCACUCUGCUGGGCCGAAACUGACACUGAGAGACGAAAGCUAGGGGAGCGAAUGGG